AUAUUACUAAGCGGGGGAAAAGAAAUUAACAAAGAUUGCCUUAGUAAGGGCGACUGAACCGGCAAGAGCCCAAAAUUGAAAUCGAGAAUUCAAUGAAUUUUCGAAUUGUAAUCAGGUCCGCCUAAAUACGAGAUUACGUUUAACUACGUCGAAUCGUGGGCCAAGGAGGGUGAAAGCCCCGUGUAGCGUUUUCUCGAGUAAGGAGGACCCCAAAAGAGUCGGGUUGCUUGGAACUGCAGCCCUAAGUGGGAGAUAUGAAUCUUCCAAAGCUAAAUAUGGAUGGGAGACCGAUAGCGCACAAGUA
RNAcentral lists this ribosomal RNA (304 nucleotides) under uncultured Spathidium. Its description in RNAcentral is "partial large subunit ribosomal RNA". It matches the Rfam family "Eukaryotic large subunit ribosomal RNA", at positions 40 to 350 of the family's 3401-position model. The record is from RNAcentral. Lineage: Eukaryota; Ciliophora; Litostomatea; Haptorida; Spathidiidae.